RNAcentral lists this ribosomal RNA (388 nucleotides) under uncultured bacterium. RNAcentral's name for it is "bacterial SSU rRNA". It matches the Rfam family "Bacterial small subunit ribosomal RNA", at positions 28 to 417 of the family's 1533-position model. The record is from RNAcentral.
GACGAACGCUGGCGGCGUGCUUAACACAUGCAAGUCGAGCGGUAAGGCCCUUUCGGGGGUACACGAGCGGCGAACGGGUGAGUAACACGUGGGUGACCUGCCCUCAGCUCUGGGAUAAGCCUGGGAAACUGGGUCUAAUACCGGAUAUGACUCCAUGACGCAUGUUGUGGGGUGGAAAGCCUUGUGCGGCUGAGGAUGGGCCCGCGGCCUAUCAGCUUGUUGGUGGGGUGAUGGCCUACCAAGGCGACGACGGGUAGCCGGCCUGAGAGGGCGACCGGCCACACUGGGACUGAGGCACGGCCCAGACUCCUACGGGAGGCAGCAGUGGGGAAUCUUGCGCAAUGGGCGAAAGCCUGACGCAGCGACGCCGCGUGAGGGAUGACGGCCU